UGACCCUGUCAGUCUAACCUGGCCUAAACCAUUUUAAUACAGGGACAUCUGCUGCCGUUUGGUAUGGAACUGGAGCGAUCUCAUGUUUUUUUAGCCAAAACUCUGUCAAACUCAGUGAUCUGGAUUUUUUAGAGGCAACCAGAGAGAGCAUAGCAUCACUUUCUUGGCAGCCAAGUUAGAUUGUAUGCUUGGUCUUGGACUUCCGGCGAAAUCUGUUGGGAAAGUUGUACCUGUUUGGUAACUAGAAAAAUUCACCAAUUACUUAUCAUCCAACUCAUGAAUUAACUCUGGAACCCAGACCAAGGAAUCUGUUAAAACCAAGCACCCACAACUUCACUAUGAGGCCAAGUUGUACAUGCUACUUCAAGGAGGAACUGGCAGCUGGUGAUUUACUUCAGGAAUCGUACCUAUGUGGAUAAUACGAUGAUGUAUCUGGAUCUCGAUUUCCUGUUUCGUCUGGGAGCCAAGAACUAUUUACAUCAACGUAAAUAGUUUCAUCCGCGGACUCACAAGUCCGGGUUCUUUGCAGAAUCAACGUUGUCGGGAAAUUCAAAGGUAACAGGCAUUCAGAACAUAGAGCAACGACUAGAAACGUCCCUUAGACGCCUUAGAUUGAGAAAGUUAAAAGAGAUUUGAAUGACCCACGUCUCCUGCCAAUUGCUGAAGCUAAAUGUACAUCAAAUGCCAGCGGAGCUGCCUUUUAUAGUUCAGAAGUAUUGAUUGCAAGUCUUUGAGACAUAUUAUUGUUUUGAAUUUGCAAAAAUCUGAAACAAAAGUUAUCAAAUGAUGAUUAUGGUAUGGUUUUGCA
Long non-coding RNA from Helianthus annuus (common sunflower), 808 nucleotides. RefSeq lists it as uncharacterized. The record is from RefSeq and is a predicted model, not a curated record. The transcript is spliced from 7 exons. Lineage: Eukaryota; Viridiplantae; Streptophyta; Magnoliopsida; Asterales; Asteraceae.